AUUUAAAAUUGUGUCUAGCACUAUUACUUAACCAUUUCCAAUGGGAGGGUAACUUUUAUGGUCCUUUCUAAAACAAUGUUUGGUCCUCGAGUGACAGUAUUAGGAGAUACAUCUUGGGAUAAGCAGCUGACGUGACAGUGAUUCAAUUUUAAUUUUUUUUUCUCAAAACUGUUAUUAAAGAAAUACCUUGAAUCUUAAUAGCGAUUAUCUCAUAGGUUGUUAACAAUUAUAUAUAAAAGAGGAGUUGAAGCAGUUUAAAUAACAAGUCCGCAAGAUGAAGGGUUCAUUUCAAGUAAGUAGAUAUCCUUCCUUCAUUUUUUUGUGACAACCAAUUCCACUAUGAAAACGAAUAACAACAAUUUCUCGAUAUUUUUCUGUAUGGUCCUUAUCGUACACCAAAUGGGUACAGGAUAUUCACAGUUCCAGGCAGAAAGUCAGUUCGUCCCGACGAUAAUUCCAAAAGAUCCAAAUCAAGCGAGGCAAUUAUUGGGAUAUAACAAGUACGAUCGGUCGGAAGUGCGAAAUUCCGACAAAGCUGUUCUGUAUGGAAAUAACUGGGAACAGUUCGCUAAUUAGUAUUACCCAUUAAUAUGUACAUAAAUCUUUAAAUUAAAGGAGUAGGUCCUUG
Photinus pyralis (common eastern firefly) is the source of this 628-nucleotide long non-coding RNA. RefSeq lists it as uncharacterized. Lineage: Eukaryota; Metazoa; Arthropoda; Insecta; Coleoptera; Lampyridae. The record is from RefSeq and is a predicted model, not a curated record. The transcript is spliced from 2 exons.